Molecule: non-coding RNA, 106 nt
Organism: Clavulina sp. PMI_390
Lineage: Eukaryota; Fungi; Basidiomycota; Agaricomycetes; Cantharellales; Hydnaceae
Source: the annotation of a GenBank genome assembly
GGCGGGGUAGCGAAGUGGUCAAACGCGCUAGUUUUAGGUCCCAGCAGGGAUUUAAACAAUCCUGACACUAGUCCUCGGUUCGUGGGUUCAAAUCCCACCUCCGUCA